GGUUCCGGGUUCUUCUCCCCUCCUUGACCAGGCACUGUUUGAACGCGCCAAAGGUGGGUCAAUCAGAAAGAAGCAUCUCCCCCCUUCCCUUGGGCCCGCCCCACGUAGGCCCAAGGGAUAUAAAACCCAGCACACCAGCAGCUCUCUCUCUCUCUUCUCUUCUCCUCUCUCUUCUCUUCUCUCUCUCCCCCGCGCGACCUGACCUCUACCUCUCCAAUAAAGAUCUCUUGGCUGCCACUGGUGUCGUCUCUGACUAGCCUGUCGCCCUUCAUUUUGGUGCCGUGACUCGGAUCGGGAUUCCCCACCUUUAGGUGGGACCCCGAUCCCUUCCCAGGCUCAGUCUAGACCUCCGGCCAGCCUUCACCCAUUUUCCUGUUCUCCGAGCUCUUCGCCCACCACCAGCCUCAUCUCGCUUCUCCUUAGACAGUAUCAACUCCUAGCAACCAGCGAAGAAGCGGCUGACUCCAGAGACAGACUCUGAGCACCAUGUCUCGGUUCCACCAGUUCCUAGACGAUCUCCGCAAAGACUGCUGGCUCAUCACAGACCUCUCCCUGCCCCUUGGCUGGCUACAAGGAACAUUCAUGGACUUCACAACUGAGGAGAUGUUCACAUACAGCGCCCUACUGCUUGGCCUUAUACUCCUGCUAUGCCCCGUACACAACCCCCAGAGUCCUCCCAUAUCCCUCCCCCACGACGCCCCCGCUCAGCAGGAAGUAGUCAGACAAACUACAACGCCCAUUUCCCCACUUCUUAAGAAACAAAAAAGGGAGGAACGUUAGGUAACAGGGGUACCUUAAUGGCGCCGGUUCCGGGUUCUUCUCCCCUCCUUGACCAGGCACUGUCUGAACCCGCCAAAGGAGGGCCAAUCAGAAAGAAGCAUCUCCCCCCUUCCCUUGGGCCCGCCCCACGUAGGCCCAAGGGAUAUAAAACCCAGCACACCAGCAGCUCUCUCUCUCUCUUCUCUUCUCUCUCUCCCCCGUGCGACCUGACCUCUACCUCUCCAAUAAAGAUCUCUUGGCUGC
Molecule: long non-coding RNA, 1023 nt
Organism: Symphalangus syndactylus (siamang)
Lineage: Eukaryota; Metazoa; Chordata; Mammalia; Primates; Hylobatidae
Source: RefSeq, a predicted model, not a curated record